ACUCCUACGGGAGGCAGCAGUGGGAAUCUUAGACAAUGGGAACCGUAGCAUCUAGCCAUGCCGCGUGAGCGAUGAAGGCCUUAGGGUUGUAAAGCUCUUUCGCUGGGAAGAUAAUGACGGUACCCAGUAAAGAAGUCCCGGCUAACUCCGUGCCAGCAGCCGCGGUAAUACGGAGGGACUAGCGUUGUUCGGAAUUACUGGGCGUAAAGCGCGCGUAGCGGAUCAGAAAGUUGGGUGGAAUACC
Molecule: ribosomal RNA, 244 nt
Filed under: uncultured bacterium
Lineage: Bacteria
Description: partial 16S ribosomal RNA
Rfam family: Bacterial small subunit ribosomal RNA
Source: RNAcentral